RNAcentral lists this microRNA (21 nucleotides) under Mus musculus (house mouse). Its description in RNAcentral is "mmu-miR-544-5p". Its record names the gene mmu-miR-544-5p. The record is from miRBase by way of RNAcentral. Lineage: Eukaryota; Metazoa; Chordata; Mammalia; Rodentia; Muridae.
UCUUGUUAAAAAGCAGAGUCU